Molecule: ribosomal RNA, 253 nt
Filed under: uncultured bacterium
Lineage: Bacteria
Description: partial 16S ribosomal RNA
Rfam family: Bacterial small subunit ribosomal RNA
Source: RNAcentral
UACGUAGGGUGCAAGCGUUAAUCGGAAUUACUGGGCGUAAAGCGUGCGCAGGCGGUUUUGUAAGUCAGAUGUGAAAUCCCCGGGCUCAACCUGGGAACUGCCUUUGUGACUGCAAGGCUUGAGUGCGGCAGAGGGGGAUGGAAUUCCGCGUGUAGCAGUGAAAUGCGUAGAUAUGCGGAGGAACACCGAUGGCGAAGGCAAUCCCCUGGGCCUGCACUGACGCUCAUGCACGAAAGCGUGGGGAGCAAACAGG